RNAcentral lists this ribosomal RNA (465 nucleotides) under Vreelandella stevensii. RNAcentral's name for it is "partial 16S ribosomal RNA". It matches the Rfam family "Bacterial small subunit ribosomal RNA", at positions 338 to 795 of the family's 1533-position model. Lineage: Bacteria; Pseudomonadati; Pseudomonadota; Gammaproteobacteria; Oceanospirillales; Halomonadaceae. The record is from RNAcentral.
CCUACGGGUGGCAGCAGUGGGGAAUAUUGGACAAUGGGCGAAAGCCUGAUCCAGCCAUGCCGCGUGUGUGAAGAAGGCCUUCGGGUUGUAAAGCACUUUCAGUGGGGAAGAAAGCCUUGGGGCUAAUACCCUCGAGGAAGGACAUCACCCACAGAAGAAGCACCGGCUAACUCCGUGCCAGCAGCCGCGGUAAUACGGAGGGUGCGAGCGUUAAUCGGAAUUACUGGGCGUAAAGCGCGCGUAGGCGGUCUGAUAAGCCGGUUGUGAAAGCCCCGGGCUCAACCUGGGAACGGCAUCCGGAACUGUCAGGCUAGAGUGCAGGAGAGGAAGGUAGAAUUCCCGGUGUAGCGGUGAAAUGCGUAGAGAUCGGGAGGAAUACCAGUGGCGAAGGCGGCCUUCUGGACUGACACUGACGCUGAGGUGCGAAAGCGUGGGUAGCAAACAGGAUUAGAUACCCUAGCAGUC